UGGGGAAUAUUGGACAAUGGGGGAAACCCUGAUCCAGCAAUGCCGCGUGAGUGAAGAAGGCCUUAGGGUUGUAAAGCUCUUUCAGUAGGGACGAUGAUGACGGUACCUACAGAAGAAGCCCCGGCUAACUCCGUGCCAGCAGCCGCGGUAAGACGGAGGGGGCUAGCGUUGUUCGGAAUUACUGGGCGUAAAGGGCGCGUAGGCGGCAAAUCAAGUUAGGCGUGAAAUCCCUGGGCUUAACCCAGGAACUGCGUCUAAUACUGGUUAGCUAGAGAUUGGUAGAGGAAAGUGGAAUUCCUAGUGUAGAGGUGAAAUUCGUAGAUAUUAGGAAGAACACCAGAGGCGAAGGCGACUUUCUGGGCCAAUACUGACGCUGAGGCGCGAAAGCGUGGGGAGCAAACAGGAUUAGAUACCCCCGUAGUCC
This 424-nucleotide ribosomal RNA is filed under the name uncultured bacterium. Its description in RNAcentral is "bacterial SSU rRNA". It matches the Rfam family "Bacterial small subunit ribosomal RNA", at positions 355 to 796 of the family's 1533-position model. The record is from RNAcentral.